Molecule: ribosomal RNA, 253 nt
Filed under: uncultured bacterium
Lineage: Bacteria
Description: partial 16S ribosomal RNA
Rfam family: Bacterial small subunit ribosomal RNA
Source: RNAcentral
UACGUAGGGUGCAAGCGUUGUCCGGAAUUAUUGGGCGUAAAGAGCUCGUAGGCGGUCUGUCGCGUCGGCUGUGAAAACCCGGAGCUCAACUCCGGGCCUGCGGUCGAUACGGGCAAACUGGAGUGCUGCAGGGGAGACUGGAAUUCCUGGUGUAGCGGUGAAAUGCGCAGAUAUCAGGAGGAACACCGGUGGCGAAGGCGGGUCUCUGGGCAGUAACUGACGCUGAGGAGCGAAAGCGUGGGGAGCGAACAGG